GGCUGGAUGGCCGAGCGGUCUAAGGCGCUAGACUCAAGAACACAAGUUCUUCUUCACAAAAGUGAGGUGCAUUCUAGUAUCGAAAGAUGCGUGGGUUCGAAUCCCACUCCAGUCA
Non-coding RNA from Sordaria brevicollis, 115 nucleotides. The record is from the annotation of a GenBank genome assembly. NCBI's taxonomy places the organism in Eukaryota, Fungi, Ascomycota, Sordariomycetes, Sordariales, Sordariaceae.